This 381-nucleotide ribosomal RNA is filed under the name uncultured soil bacterium. RNAcentral describes it as "bacterial SSU rRNA". It matches the Rfam family "Bacterial small subunit ribosomal RNA", at positions 26 to 405 of the family's 1533-position model. The record is from RNAcentral.
AGAUUGAACGCUGGCGGCAUGCCUUACACAUGCAAGUCGAACGGCAGCACGGGAGCAAUCCUGGUGGCGAGUGGCGAACGGGUGAGUAAUAUAUCGGAACGUGCCCAGUCGUGGGGGAUAACGCAGCGAAAGCUGUGCUAAUACCGCAUACGAUCUAUGGAUGAAAGCGGGGGAUCGCAAGACCUCGCGCGAUUGGAGCGGCCGAUAUCAGAUUAGCUAGUGUGGGUAAAAGCUACCAAGGCGACGAUCUGUAGCUGGUCUGAGAGGACGACCAGCCACACUGGAACUGAGACACGGUCCAGACUCCGUACGGGAGCAGCAGGUAGGGUAAUUUUGGACUAAGUGGGCGUCGAAGCCUAGAUCCAGCAAUCGCCGCGUGAC